GGGAGCCGACGUUACCGGUUUGUCUGGCAGGAACCUGCUGGUCAACCUGGGGCUGUUCGCCGCUGGAGUCUGGGUCGCCCGGAACCUGACGGACAUCGACCUGAUGGCCCCGCAGCCCGUCCCGUAGCGGCGGAAGGAACCAGCGCUGCGGGGGAGAAGAGCUCGCCCUCCCCACACACAAGGACCAGAGGAGAUGUGUUUUAGCCGACCCAGUGAGGGGAGCAGGUUCUGUUCUCCUUCUCUGCAGAGCUGCUACUCGCAGGUCAGCGCUGUCCCGCUUGAAGCCAUGACAAGGAGGGGAAAAAACUUUUAAGUACGAGAGGAAGAAUUUCUUUUCCGUUCUUUCUGCGAGGCACAAUGAGAAUAGUUUUCUCAAGGAUGCGAAGCCGUUGUGCGUGGAAUUUUCUUUUGUACCCCCAUCUAGAUGUUUAUUAAAGUACGUAGAAUAAUGAUGUAACCCA
Calidris pugnax (ruff) is the source of this 461-nucleotide long non-coding RNA. RefSeq lists it as uncharacterized. The record is from RefSeq and is a predicted model, not a curated record. The transcript has 2 exons. NCBI's taxonomy places the organism in Eukaryota, Metazoa, Chordata, Aves, Charadriiformes, Scolopacidae.